AUGUACGCCCGUACAUUCCGGUUCCUCCGCGCCGUCCGCACCCAUCUGACAGCUGCUCGCUACGUUUUGUUAGCC
RNAcentral lists this small RNA (75 nucleotides) under Xanthomonas campestris pv. incanae. Its description in RNAcentral is "sX9 sRNA". It matches the Rfam family "Xanthomonas sRNA sX9". RNAcentral also lists the same sequence under 2 other names. Lineage: Bacteria; Pseudomonadati; Pseudomonadota; Gammaproteobacteria; Lysobacterales; Lysobacteraceae. The record is from RNAcentral.